RNAcentral lists this transfer RNA (102 nucleotides) under Cristinia sonorae. It matches the Rfam family "tRNA". Rfam says of the family: Transfer RNA (tRNA) molecules are approximately 80 nucleotides in length. The record is from Rfam by way of RNAcentral. Lineage: Eukaryota; Fungi; Basidiomycota; Agaricomycetes; Agaricales; Stephanosporaceae.
GCCCGCCUAGCUCAAUCGGAUAGAGCGUCAGACUCUUACGAGUUGCGGGUGAACAGAUUCACUGCGAUCUGAAGGCUGCGAGUUCGACCCUCGCGGUGGGCU